This 279-nucleotide ribosomal RNA is filed under the name uncultured bacterium. RNAcentral describes it as "partial 16S ribosomal RNA". It matches the Rfam family "Bacterial small subunit ribosomal RNA", at positions 9 to 269 of the family's 1533-position model. The record is from RNAcentral.
GAGUUUGAUCGUGGCUCAGGAUGAACGCUGGCGGCGUGCUUAACACAUGCAAGUCGAACGAAGCGCUCAAGCGGAUUUCUUCGGAUUGAAGUUUUUGCGACUGAGUGGCGGACGGGUGAGUAACGCGUGGGUAACCUGCCUCAUACAGGGGGAUAACAGUUAGAAAUGACUGCUAAUACCGCAUAAGCGCACGGUGCUGCAUGGCACAGUGUAGAAAAACUCUGGUGGUAUGAGAUGGACCCGCGUCUGAUUAGCUAGUUGGUGGGGUAACGGCCUACC